RNAcentral lists this long non-coding RNA (335 nucleotides) under Ananas comosus (pineapple). RNAcentral describes it as "long non-coding RNA (ACOM_LNC027352)". Lineage: Eukaryota; Viridiplantae; Streptophyta; Magnoliopsida; Poales; Bromeliaceae. The record is from RNAcentral.
AAUCGUCAAGAAAACAUCGCUUGAUCGUUCUGGCUGUGACUUGGUGGGUAAUCUGGACGGAUAGAAACAACUAUAUUUUUAAUGGAAAACAGCCUAAUGUCUCCGGAUCUCUAGAAUGUCUCAAACUACUGGUCAACAGCUGGACCACUAUGCUCUGAAGCCCUUCUUGUACUUUUAACUUUGACCUUCCUUUCUCCUUUCUUUAGCUUUUAAUUUAAUUCUCACAUUUUGCUGACCCCUCGGAGGUCUAAGCUGCUUCCAACUUGUAUACUCAGUUCAUUUGACUUAAUGAAUGAAGCAGGUAGUUUGCUACCUAUUUCUCAAAAAAAAAAAAA